UUUUCUUAACAACACAGCUUAGUAUAUCAAAAUAGGUGAUAGUCACAUAUACAUAUUGAUUACAUGACAAGAGAAGAUAUUAUACAGAUGUAGGAAGAUAUAGUCGAUAUGGAUGGCGGCAUAUUGAUAAAAUAGGUCGAUAGUUAUCUAGGCCUAUUGAUAUCUCUGAGAUUGACGUUCUGGUCGCCUUGUAAAGCCUUUUUCUUUUUUAUUUUCAGCUGUUUGAGACUAUUAUGUACUUCUUUCAGACUGUUUUUUAUUUAAUAAAAUGACUGCAUGCAUCACUCGAUGCAGAGGCCGGGGCGAUGCCUCCUUUUUGAAAAAAAAGGAACUUAUGGGAAUAGAAGACAUUGGGAAUAGUGGUGGCACCAAAAGUAAAGCAGCACUGAGACAAAUACUAGAUGAUAGAUUUUUACGAUGGUGAAAUGUUACUCAGUUCUUUUGUUCCGUUUUAUUUACGAACCUAUGUUGUACUAAUAAUGUUUGUGGCAGCUGCCCUGCGUUGGUGAAUUGGAUGGACAUCUGUGUCGUAAGAAACAGGAAAAUAGAUCAUCUUUUUCAUCUCCUGUAUUUCUUUUUCGGUUAUAGUAAAGAAAAGAAAAACAAACUUCAAAACAGAGGAUGAUCAAACUCGUGACUCGUGGCAUAAUAGUUGUCUUAUUAGAUGUUUUUUUCUCGAAGAAGGUAAUGUCCUUACUGCAACCGGCCCGAGCACCCCUAGUAGCAUUGUUGAAAGCAGAAUUGUGCCAAGUAGGCAGUAGCAAC
Molecule: long non-coding RNA, 765 nt
Filed under: Hordeum vulgare
Lineage: Eukaryota; Viridiplantae; Streptophyta; Magnoliopsida; Poales; Poaceae
Description: long non-coding RNA (HVUL_LNC013989)
Source: RNAcentral